RNAcentral lists this ribosomal RNA (1141 nucleotides) under uncultured Campylobacterota bacterium. RNAcentral describes it as "bacterial SSU rRNA". It matches the Rfam family "Bacterial small subunit ribosomal RNA", at positions 371 to 1533 of the family's 1533-position model. The record is from RNAcentral. Lineage: Bacteria; Pseudomonadati; Campylobacterota.
AUGGAGGAAACUCUGAUGCAGCAAUGCCGCGUGAAGGAUGACGGUUUUCGGAUUGUAAACUUCUUUUAUAUACCAAGAUAAUGACGGUAGUAUAUGAAUAAGCACCGGCUAACUCCGUGCCAGCAGCCGCGGUAAUACGGAGGGUGCAAGCGUUACUCGGAAUCACUGGGCGUAAAGGGUACGUAGGUGUUCUAAUAAGUUGGAUGUGAAAUCCUAUGGCUUAACCAUAGAAGUGCAUUCAAAACUGUUAGAAUAGAGUUUGGGAGGGGUAAGUGGAAUUAGUGGUGUAGGGGUAAAAUCCGUAGAUAUCACUAGGAAUACCAAAAGCGAAGGCGACUUACUGGAACAAUACUGACACUGAGGUACGAAAGCGUGGGGAGCAAACAGGAUUAGAUACCCUGGUAGUCCACGCCCUAAACGAUGAAUGCUAAUCGUUGUGAGGCUUUGACCUUGCAGUGAUGCAGUUAACACAUUAAGCAUUCCGCCUGGGGAGUACGGUCGCAAGAUUAAAACUCAAAGAAAUAGACGGGGACCCGCACAAGCGGUGGAGCAUGUGGUUUAAUUCGAAGAUACGCGAAGAACCUUACCUAGCCUUGACAUUGAUAGAAUCUUAUAGAAAUAUAGGAGUGCCUUUCGGGGAACUUGAAAACAGGUGCUGCACGGCUGUCGUCAGCUCGUGUCGUGAGAUGUUGGGUUAAGUCCCGCAACGAGCGCAACCCUUAUCUUUAGUUACUAACGGUUCGGCCGAGGACUCUAAAGAGACUGCCCUCGUAAGGGGGAGGAAGGUGAGGACGACGUCAAGUCAUCAUGGCCCUUACGGCUAGGGCUACACACGUGCUACAAUGGGGUGUUACAAUGAGAUGCAAUGUCGCGAGGCGGAGCAAAACUAUAAAGCACCUCCCAGUUCGGAUUGGAGUCUGCAACUCGACUCCAUGAAGUUGGAAUCGCUAGUAAUCGCGAAUCAGCCAUGUCGCGGUGAAUACGUUCCCGGGUCUUGUACUCACCGCCCGUCACACCAUGGGAGUUGAAUUCACCUGAAGUCGGAAUACUAAAUUAGUUACCGCCCACGGUGGGUUCAGCGACUGGGGUGAAGUCGUAACAAGGUAACCGUAGGAGAACCUGCGGUUGGAUCACCUCCUUU